UACGUAGGGUGCAAGCGUUGUCCGGAAUUAUUGGGCGUAAAGAGCUUGUAGGCGGUUUGUCGCGUCUGCUGUGAAAUUUCGGGGCUCAACCCCGAACUUGCAGUGGGUACGGGCAGACUAGAGUGUGGUAGGGGAGACUGGAAUUCCUGGUGUAGCGGUGAAAUGCGCAGAUAUCAGGAGGAACACCGAUGGGCGAAGGCAGGUCUCUGGGCCAUAACUGACGCUGAGAAGCGAAAGCAUGGGGAGCGAACAGG
This 254-nucleotide ribosomal RNA is filed under the name uncultured bacterium. Its description in RNAcentral is "partial 16S ribosomal RNA". It matches the Rfam family "Bacterial small subunit ribosomal RNA", at positions 524 to 776 of the family's 1533-position model. The record is from RNAcentral.